RNAcentral lists this ribosomal RNA (497 nucleotides) under uncultured bacterium. Its description in RNAcentral is "partial 16S ribosomal RNA". It matches the Rfam family "Bacterial small subunit ribosomal RNA", at positions 28 to 507 of the family's 1533-position model. The record is from RNAcentral.
GAUGAACGCUGGCGGCGUGCCUAAUACAUGCAAGUCGAGCGAACGGACGAGAAGCUUGCUUUUCUGAUGUUAGCGGCGGACGGGUGAGUAACACGUGGAUAACCUACCUAUAAGACUGGGAUAACUUCGGGAAACCGGAGCUAAUACCGGAUAAUAUUUUGAACCGCAUGGUUCAAAAGUGAAAGACGGUCUUGCUGUCACUUAUAGAUGGAUCCGCGCUGCAUUAGCUAGUUGGUAAGGUAACGGCUUACCAAGGCAACGAUUCAUAGCCGACCUGAGAGGGUGAUCGGGCACACUGGAACUGAGACACGGUCCAGACUCCUACGGGAGGAAGCAGUAGGGAAUCUUCCGCAAUGGGCGAAAGCCUGACGGAGCAACGCCGCGUGAGUGAUGAAGGUCUUCGGAUCGUAAAACUCUGUUAUUAGGGAAGAACAUAUGUGUAAGUAACUGUGCACAUCUUGACGGUACCUAAUCAGAAAGCCACGGCUAACUACGUG